RNAcentral lists this ribosomal RNA (497 nucleotides) under uncultured bacterium. Its description in RNAcentral is "partial 16S ribosomal RNA". It matches the Rfam family "Bacterial small subunit ribosomal RNA", at positions 28 to 507 of the family's 1533-position model. The record is from RNAcentral.
GAUGAACGCUGGCGGCGUGCCUAAUACAUGCAAGUCGAGCGAACAGACGAGGAGCUUGCUCCUCUGACGUUAGCGGCGGACGGGUGAGUAACACGUGGAUAACCUACCUUUAAGACUGGGAUAACUUCGGGAAACCGGAGCUAAUACCGGAUAAUAUAUUGAACCGCAUGGUUCAAUAGUGAAAGACGGUUUUGCUGUCACUUAUAGAUGGAUCCGCGCCGCAUUAGCUAGUUGGUAAGGUAACGGCUUACCAAGGCAACGAUGCGUAGCCGACCUGAGAGGGUGAUCGGCCACACUGGAACUGAGACACGGUCCAGACUCCUACGGGAGGCAGCAGUAGGGAAUCUUCCGCAAUGGGCGAAAGCCUGACGGAGCAACGCCGCGUGAGUGAUGAAGGUCUUCGGAUCGUAAAACUCUGUUAUUAGGGAAGAACAAAUGUAUAAGUAACUAUGCACGUCUUGACGGUACCUAAUCAGAAAGCCACGGCUAACUACGUG